Molecule: transfer RNA, 69 nt
Filed under: Ictidomys tridecemlineatus (thirteen-lined ground squirrel)
Lineage: Eukaryota; Metazoa; Chordata; Mammalia; Rodentia; Sciuridae
Also listed under: 1 other name
Description: Spermophilus tridecemlineatus (thirteen-lined ground squirrel) tRNA
Rfam family: tRNA
About the family: Transfer RNA (tRNA) molecules are approximately 80 nucleotides in length. Their secondary structure includes four short double-helical elements and three loops (D, anti-codon, and T loops).
Source: Rfam by way of RNAcentral
GGGGUUGUGGCUCAGUGGUAGAGCAUCUGCCUAGUGUGUAUGAGGCACUGGGUUCGAUCCCCAGCACCA